UGUAGUGUGGUGGAACUGGCAGACACACCCUCCUCUCUCGAGGGUGAAGGUUCGGGAUAAAUCGGCCCCCCGGCCGGCUAACCACUUCGUGGAGGUUCAAGUCCUUCCGCUACAGCCA
This 118-nucleotide transfer RNA is filed under the name Hymenobacter caeli. RNAcentral describes it as "tRNA-Glu". The record is from RNAcentral. Lineage: Bacteria; Pseudomonadati; Bacteroidota; Cytophagia; Cytophagales; Hymenobacteraceae.